UAUUUUUAGGAUUUAAAUUUUGAUUCCUCAGUGAACUGUACAGAAAAUAAUGAUGAAAUCCUUGAGAGUAUUACUAGUGAUCCUGUGGCUUCAGUUAAACUGGGUGACGAGUCAACAAAAGGAGGUGGAGCAGAAUACUGAAUCCCUCAGUGUUCCAGAGGGUGCCACUGCCCCUCUCAACUGCACUUUUAGCGACCGUGGUUCUCGGAACUUCAUGUGGUACAGGCAGUAUUCUGGGAAAGGUCCUGAGUUGCUGAUAGCCAUAUACUCCAACGGUGACAAAGAAGAUGGAAGGUUUACAGUGCAGCUCAAUAAAGGCAGCCAGUAUGUUUCCCUGCUCAUCAGAGACUCCCAGAUCAGCGACUCAGCCACCUAUCUCUGUGUGGUGGUUAAGUGGAUGAGGGAGGGGGCUUCAGUCCUUGAACAUGGGGCAGCAGGAAGAAGUCUGUCCUAUAUGCUCAUCUUCCGUGGAGACAUUGGAAAUCUUUCCUCCUACUCAUCUGUACUGGUUGCAUCCACAAUUUUGAAGAAAUUACCGUGCAGUCUCACUGGGCCACUGUGGGUGGAGUUUCCCGUGAAGAUGAAAAACAGAGCUCAAGUGUGUCUGGUGCUCAGUGAAUCUGGUGAAACCUAUUGUCUGCAAGAACAAGUUUGUCUAGAUCCAAUACGUGGAACUCUUCGGAGGCGGGGAGAAGACGCCCCAGCAACGGCCAAGAAGCCAUGGAAAGGAGACUAG
This is a non-coding RNA of Carlito syrichta (Philippine tarsier), 736 nucleotides long. NCBI's taxonomy places the organism in Eukaryota, Metazoa, Chordata, Mammalia, Primates, Tarsiidae. The record is from the annotation of a RefSeq genome assembly.